AACGGUGGGCGUUGCAGGCUCGUGAACAAGAACAGGAAGCGUGCUCGCUUCGGCAGCGCAUGGACUAACAUUGGAACGGUACAGGGAAGAUCAGCAGGGCCCCUGUGCCAGGACGGCACGCGAAUUCCUGAAGUGUUCCAAAUAAAUAAAUGAGUAAGAACAGGAAGUGGUACUGGGCGUUUCAGGAAUAAUAACGAGCAGCGGGGAACCAGGGCUCUGCGGGGCUCAUGGCGAGUUAUGGAAGCUGUUACGAAUCUGCCUUAUGGUGAGGAAGACAGAGAUCGAGGUGUUGGCAGUGAAAUGGAAAGUAAGGGGUGAUUAAGGGAAAAUAUUUGAAAUUGAAGAAUUGACAGGGAUCCAUGGUUUGUUAGACAUUGAAAAUAAUAACAAAUGUGGUAGGCUGCUUCUCAGUGAGCUCCCACUAUCCCCUUUCUCCUGGGAGCCACACUGCAGUGGAAGCUCUUCCCCCAGUGUGGGCUAGACCUAGUGACUCAUUUCUAAUGAACAGAAUAUGGCAGAGUAAGGGGUCACUCUUACAAAAGAAUGUGGCUUCCAUCUUGGGUGUGAGUGGCCUCCGGGGAGACCCGCAUAACAAUGAAAUGAUGUCCCUGGACCAGCCAGAGAGGACCAGAGGACUGUCAGCAGUCCCAUGAGCGAGCCUGGAUGUGAAUGCGUCCCCUGAUCCCCGACGUUCAGCUGUGAGAUGGCCGCAGCACUGGCCACAGCCUUGACUGCAGCCUUGUAGAGAACCUGGGCCAGAGGAUGCUGCUAAGCCACGCCUGGACUCCUGAGCCACAGGGACUGUGAAUGGAUCAAAGUGUGCUGUUUGAAGCCACUAAAUCCAGGGGGCAUUAGUUACACAGCAAUGGAGAAAAAGUACAACAAGCUUACAAGACAAAAAAUAACUUUUAUCUCAAACAUAGGACACCAGUUUAUUCAGUUUACAUAUUUGGAGAUAUGGUUUUUCUGAAAAUUAACCAAAGGGGGAAUGAAUAAAGAAAAAGAAACAUCAAGGCAAGGAAAGGAAGAGAGCCCACAUCUAAUAGAGGAAAUGUCGUUGCCCUUUUAGUACAGAAGACAGAGAUCUCUCUUCCAUGGGUAAUGGCUCUCCUGUGUUAGCCAUCUACUUGCUGUCCCCAGCAUUAUGCAGCGACAUAUAACUGGACUAUGUUCAGAAAAUUAAAAUGACAUAUUCAAGGUAAAUAUCUAGGAACAUUUCAGCCCUUAGGAAGUAGAAGAAAUACCUCCUGUUACAAUCUCCAUAUUUUCUAAUAGAUAAUGCAACUCAUUCUGCUACACAUCAGCUAGUUAACUAGCAACACUUUUUCCAGUGCUGACCAGUGCAGGAGUUCUUUGAAAGAAUUACUUGUUUCAAAGAGGUCGAAGUGCAGAGUACAAUGGUGAUUGCCAGGAGUUGGAGGCAUGGGGCAUGGGGAGAGGUUGGUCAAAGGGAGGAUAGUCUCAGUCAGAUAAGAUGAGUGUGUUCUGAAGAUCUAUGUAUGAGACGGUGCUGUCAAUAAUAAUGUAUUAUUGUAUACUUGAAAUUGUUAAGAGACAAAUGUUCUCACCACAAGAAAAACCAAUAACUAUGUAGGUGAUGGAUGUUAAUUACUUUGACUGUGGUAACCGUUUCACAGUGCGUGCAUAUAUCAAAACUUCCCAUUGUGCGCUGUAAAUAUACACAAUCUUUAUAUCUCGAUAAAGCUAGGAUGGGAGAAGGAAACACUUAUAAAUCACAGCACACUUGAAGGAAAGAGGAACAGACACCUAUUUCAACAUGUAAGAUCACAACAGAAAGAAGAAUGUGAGUUCCAUGAAGGCAGGCAUUUGCCUUGUUCUCGUCAUAGUCCCAGGCCCUGGCGCGUGUUAGAUGGUCCCUAGUGAUGAGUAAAUGAACAAGUGCAGCAGCUAUGGUUCAAGAAGGCCAUGGUGACCAGAGGCUCAGACCCUUCAGGGAGGAGGCUCAGGGUCACCUUAUCAGCCUGGACUUUAACCACGUGGAAAGCAAGAUUAGAGGCCCCCUGAAUAGUACUGUUCACGAAGACUAAAAGGAACUGAGUGUGCCUGAGCUUAAGCAUCACGAAGACCAG
RNAcentral lists this long non-coding RNA (2090 nucleotides) under Homo sapiens (human). Lineage: Eukaryota; Metazoa; Chordata; Mammalia; Primates; Hominidae. The record is from RNAcentral.